This 28-nucleotide non-coding RNA is filed under the name Homo sapiens (human). Lineage: Eukaryota; Metazoa; Chordata; Mammalia; Primates; Hominidae. The record is from RNAcentral.
CGGGCCAGGGCUACUCGGAAGCAUCUAG